AUUUAAAUAGCUUAAUCAGAGCAUAAUAUUGAAAAUAUUAAGGUGGUAAUUUAUUGCUUUUAGAUG
RNAcentral lists this transfer RNA (66 nucleotides) under Andrena chekiangensis. RNAcentral's name for it is "tRNA-Phe". The record is from RNAcentral. Lineage: Eukaryota; Metazoa; Arthropoda; Insecta; Hymenoptera; Andrenidae.